CCCUUAGAUGUUCUGGGCCGCACGCGCGCUACACUGACGGAGGCAGCGAGCAUGUCCUUCGCCGAGAGGUGUGGGGAAUCUUGUGAGUCUCCGUCGUGCUGGGGAUAGAUGGUUGCAAUUCUUCAUCUUCAACGAGGAAUGCCUAGUAAACGCAAGUCAUCAGCUUGCAUUGAUUACGUCCCUGCCCUUUGUACACACCGCCCGUCGCUCCUACCGAUUGAAUGUUCCGAUGAAUACCAUGGACUGAGAGUAUGAAUGGGUUCGCCUAUUUCUGCUUCUCGGGAAGUGGAGUAAAUCUUAACAUUUAGAGGAAGGAGAAGUCGUAACA
Molecule: ribosomal RNA, 328 nt
Filed under: uncultured eukaryote
Lineage: Eukaryota
Description: partial 18S ribosomal RNA
Rfam family: Eukaryotic small subunit ribosomal RNA
Source: RNAcentral